RNAcentral lists this ribosomal RNA (343 nucleotides) under uncultured Chlamydiae bacterium. RNAcentral describes it as "bacterial SSU rRNA". It matches the Rfam family "Bacterial small subunit ribosomal RNA", at positions 29 to 351 of the family's 1533-position model. The record is from RNAcentral. Lineage: Bacteria; Pseudomonadati; Chlamydiota; Chlamydiia.
AACGAACGCUGGCGGCGUGGAUUAGGCAUGCAAGUCGAACGGAGAUCUUUUAUAGCAAUAUGAAAGGUCUUAGUGGCGUAAGGGCGAGUAACACGUGGGUAACGUACCUUGAUGCUGGGAAUACCCUCCCGAAAAGGGAGGUUAAUACCGAAUGUGGUCAUGCGGCGCAAGCCGGAUGGCUAAAGGUGGGGAUUCGCAAGAACCUGCCGCAUUAAGAGCGACCCGCGUCCUAUCAGCUAGUUGGUGGGGUAAUGGCCUACCAAGGCAACGACGGGUAGCCGAGUUGAGAGACUGACCGGCCGCAUUGGGACUGAGACACUGCCCAGACUCCUACGGGUGGCUG